GACAGCAGAGUUCAGGCUUAACCCUUAACCUCUUCGGGCUCAGAGGACCCUGGGCAGGAGUGAUUUAAGAACACCAUCCUCCCGCCAAGGCCAAGAGAGACUUGAAAUGUAGACGCGGAGGCCUAUGGGAAAUGUAGUUUUAAAUAGGUGAGGUUCACCGCCUGGACUCUGGGAAGGGGACGCCACGCUCCUUCUGCGCAUGUGCAGCCGUAGCCUCCUCGUUCGUCUUCUCAGGACCCCAGAGAACCGUUGGGGAACUUUGGGGUGUGCUCGGAAAAUGCAGGGUGCGCACCUAGGGCGAGGGACUAGCUGGGAAGGGUGUGCCUGUGCUUGGGGAUGGGAGCAGGAAGUGUCUGGGACCCCGUCCCCCUCCCGCGGCGGUGUAUAAACCCGGGCGGGCCGUCAGAGCGGAGCUUCACAGCAGAGACAAGAGCCCAGAAAGGAGCAGAUGCUAGAUUUGCAAGAUCAGAAGCAGGUCUUGAUCCCCCUGCCCAGGAUGAACCAGACUUGAUGAUGCCACCUUCAGGAGCCACCACACUGUGUGACAGUGGGGCAUUUGGGUCGUCCCUGGGAAGAACAGAUGCGCUGCUGUCACACAUGUCCACCACCACAUGUGACAUUAGUGACGUUAUCCUGAUGUCACAGGAUCCAAGAAUGAUGAUCUGUGAAGAGUUUUCCAAGGUCACCUACUUCUAACUCUUUUGAAAGAUUUAAAGACAUUGGGCCUGAAAAUUUCUGUGACUUGUCCAGGGAAACGCAGUUUGUGACAGUUCACUCUCUCACAGCUGAACCACAGUCCUCUGUACUCGCCCAGGAGCCACAGAGAGUGAACAUCCCUCAGAGGUUAAAAAGACUAAAUCAGGAGCAGAUUCUCGUGGGGGAUAGGAGAGAAGAUAGUGAACAACAACCACCACAACGACUGGAGCAAUGUGUUGCUCACUGAAGUCAGUCUGGCCACUUAUUGACUGAUUGUAACCAAAUGAUGCGAAGAGGCUGGAGAAAGAAAUUACAGGAACAUUCUUGGAUCACUCACAGCUGUAGUGACAGACGGAAGAACUGGAUCACACUAGCAAUUUUAUGCUAGUAAAUCAUGCAUAGAUGGUACCUUUUUAUAUUUAUUUACUCAUUUAAAUGCAGAAAAGGAAAGAAAUUGCUUAUUGUAUCUUCCAAUUGUCUAUUCACUUGAGAAGUUCUUGCAGUACUUUUUCUGUUGUGUUUUCUUAGCUUCUCUUGGGUUUCUUAGCUUCUCUCUGACCUCAGGGACAGGGGGCCAAAUUCUCAGACAGCUCCUUCUUUCUUUGAAUGUCCCAAUUUGAAUAAAGUUAUUUUAUGUCUCCAGUCAACAGGUCUUGCCUGUGUACUAUUUGGGCCAUUUCAGGCACAGAAACACAUAACUAUACAUAUGUAUAUUUGUGUGUAUAUAUAUCACAGCCAUUAAGAUUGUGAGCCCUGUAACUAGAAUGCUUCAGUUCUAAUUCUGGCUUUAUCAUUUACUAGCUGUGACUUUGUCAGUGGAUACAGAGAAACCACUUGACAAAAUUCAGCAUUAACUCAUGAUAAAAACUAUCAACACUAUGGGAAUAGAAUGGAACUUCCUUAGUUUGGUAAAAGGCUUCUUCAAAAAAACAGUGCCUAGGGGCCAGUGCUGUGGUGCAGUGGUUAAGUUCAUGUGCUCUGCUUCAUUGGCCCGGGGUUCACCAGUUUGGAUCCCAGGGACAGACCUAUGCAUCGCUCAUCAAGUCAUGCUGUGGCAGGCAUCCCACAGAUAAAAUAGUGGAAGACUGGUACAGAUGCUAGGUCAUGGCCAAUCUUCCUCAGCAAAAAGAGGAGAAUCGAUGGUGGAUGUUAGCUCCGGGCUGGUCUUCCUCAAAAAUAAAUAAAUAAAUAAAGUCAUAAUUUGAACUUUUGCAAAAUUAAAACAUUUACAGUCAUGCACCACGUAACAACAUUUCAGUCAAUGAUGGACUGUAUAUACAACAGUGGCCCCAUGAGAUUAGUAUCAUAUAGCCUAGAGGUGUAGUAGGCUAUACCAUCUGGGUUUGUGAAGUGCGCCCUGUGAUGUUCACACAAGGAUGAAAUUGCCGAAGGACGCAUUUCUCAGAACGUAUCCUAACCAUUAGACGAUGUGUGACCGUAUUAUACUAUUUCUUAUCUUUCAUAUCUCUAACAAGUAAGAGAUUGAUAAUGUCCAGUGAAAAAGCUAUGAAGAGGCAGGGAUAAGCCAACACUUUUCAUGAUGAAACAGCUCUGAAUUCAACAGGAACCCCACUGGAAUGGGACUGAAACUGUGGGCAUUUUUUGAAAUUAUAAAUCACUCCUAUUACUCUUGGGUUGUACUUCUCAUUGAUCAUUUCUAUACCUGUGGUUCUCAUCACAAUUCACCAUCUGGUCUCCACUGUUCUUGUGGGUGAUUAAAGAAAAGGUCUGUGACCACACUGAAACAAAGCAGCAAAGAGAACAGUGACAGUCUGAGGGAAGAUGCAUGUCCCGCAACGUCAGGAGGCAAGUGUGUUGAAAAGAGCAGAGGCCUGUGGAGAGAGUGGGCAGCACCAUUUGGAGCUGAAGACUCCGUACAGGACCAGUUUGUGAGAGACGAGAGCAUCUUCCUAAUGAAUCUGAUAUAUACUUAAAUAGGUAUCGUGGGAAGAAAUAAAUGAGUAGCAAAACGAGAUUCCCCACAGUGAAGCAGGAUGAAAACCUGAAUGAUUUUAUUUGUUAUGUUAACAUAAACAUAGUUUUAUAUUAAAAUUAUUGAAGGGAUAAUUAUUUUACAGUAGUUCAUUUUAAAAUUAUAGUUCAAAUGCAAAAAAAAAUAAAUUCCAUGACCGGAGCACAAACAAUAGAGUUGAAAAUAUCUUUCUAAAUUAAUUUCCUAUUUGGUGAGAAGAGAAAUGGCAAAAAAUGUAUGUGUCAAAUGCCACGAAAUGGGAAAAGAUUUUCAAUGAAUAAGGGAUGACAUUACACUUUGUGUCAAAGCCAAUUUGUUAGUUUCACCACUGUCAGGGGUUUGUGAACUCAGGGAUCUAGAUAAAGUGCCCCACAUUAAUCCCAGAAGAAGGACAGGAGGCUGCUGAUCAAUGGGGGCUUGCCUGAACUUGCUUAGAUGCACAGAACUGUGAACUCAAUGGGGCGUCAUAUCCUGAGUGUGUGUUUUCACAGGCUACACUUGACCAGUUUCCUUGCUUGGACUUUCUGACAAAUCAAAUACUUGGAUCACAUCUUCUAUCAGCAGCUGUAGUGAGCUUUUUGAAAAUAACUUGGAAGUGUUCCCCUAUAGAUGUGCCCCUAUAUAUUCAGCAGGAUAACUACUAUGAAAACUGAUCUUUGGUUGCUCAUUCAUCAAAUAUUUAUUGAGCAUCUAUUUUGGAAUAUAUCAGAAAAAUAGUCCAUAGUUGUUGGGUUUUUUUUUUUUAAUGAAUUUCUUGAGAAGCAGCACAGACAUUAAACUGAUUUUAUAGGAACUGGUUGGUGAAUAAAUGACUGGCAGGCCUCCAUUGCUCAAACUUACACCCAGGGCAGAAAUCUCUAACACAGACAAACAUUUUCCUCCCCAGGGAAGCUCCGCCACAACCUGUCACUUCCAGCCAUCUAGCCAAGUUGGCAUGAAAGAAAAAGACAAUUUCCAUCCUCUCAUAGUAAUUGUUUUUUUUUCUGUCACAUAAUUGGACAGAAUGUCAGAGAUAGUGGCUCUAAUUUUCUAUUUUUUAUAGUCUUUGAUAUGUUCUGGCAGCCAAAAAACAAAGCUAGUCCAACCAAAGCCCUGAUAUGACUUCUGGGACUAUAUUUUGGGCUGUCACAGCGGGAAUUGUCACUCUAUGAAAGCUGACACCUAUCACUUCUUUUUAGCUAAAUAGUAGGAAAGUGGUAUCUGUGUAUAUGUGUGUGUAUGUAUAUAUAUGUACAGUGAGUACAUCUGUUAUGUAGGUGUGCAAGUAUAUACACAUAUGUGUAUUUGUGCAUUAACAAUGUUCUAAGCUCUUUUCUGCCUAUAAUUACAUUUUACCCUCACUUCUUUUAAGAUUCUAUUCACAGGCCACUUCCUCAGGGAUGAACCACUUUUGUGAUCUCUGAACAUGAAAUAACAUUCUCCAUCUGUUUGCAUUGCCAUUGUUUUCUUCAUAGUGAUUCUCCUUAUCAUGCAUUCAUUCAUUUAUUUUACCAGCUGGUUUUGCCUCUAAAAUGUGCUCUUGGCAGGGGGGCUGGGUAUUUUCUGUGUCUUUUUCACCAUUAUGUCCCCAGAACCUAGAGUCAUACCUCACAUAGAUUCAAUAAUCAGUGAAUGUUUGCUAUAUAAAAUAUAUUGUGGGCAGUAUGGCAUGUUCUCUAUUUUGUUGAUGGUAAAGCAAAUUCAAAACUUGACCUGCUUAAGGCGCACAGCAAGGAAGUCAUACAAUCUCUUGACCUUGCUGCUUCUAUCUUGGCCCCUCCAAAGCUUAAUGUUGUUUUGUAUUUCUUGAUUUUAUUCCUGCAAAUACUGUUGGUAAAGACACUCAGCCAGAGAAAGUUCAAUAAAACUUGAUAUUUAGCAAUACUGUUAAAUAUAUGCGAAGUGGAAAAAAGAUUCAGUGGUAUUACCUUGAAAAGGAGACUAACAUUUUUAUGGCCAGCAGGAAAGUGAAUGAUAUGGACAAACUACCGAUGUGUGUGCCCUUGAUUGAUUUGCCUUAUAAGAAAGCUUAUUAACUCAAGAUUGCACUAAAGCAGAAAUUUUGGAGGCUCUGCUUUAUGCCUCUCUGCUUAGCACAUGCCAUAGGCUACUUCCAAAUCAUGAGUUUAUGGUUUAAUUGCUAGCACCUGCCAUCACGACAAUCCUUGUAAUUGCCACUGGAAUUAAUUCGCCUUUAAGAGAGAUAAGCAAAAAUACAUCUCUCUUCUAAUUUUCUACUGCCUUCUCUGUCUCUCCAAGUUGUUCACACUUUUUUUUCUUUAUGAUCACUAUGGAUCUUAUUUAAAAGGAAGUUCUCACAUGCUAAUAUUAGGCCAGUUGCCUUCUAUGCAAAGACAGAUUGAGAGAAGAGGGCCAGGAGAUAUAUUCAGAAUCUAUGUGGAAUGGCAAAUGUAUUUAUUUUUAUAAUUAAGUAGUAUUUGUGGGAAUGCUAUUUUUCUUUCCAAUUGACUAAGAUGUAUUUAAAAAUACAUGGACAGCAUUGGCUGAAUUUGAAAUUUCUGGUACUAUCAUAACUUUCAAGGAUUCAGUUGGAAGCAGGUAGCUAAUGAAAGUUUCCUUAGAUGAUAUGUCCAGGCAAUGGUCUUGACAAAAGCUUAAGCAGCACAGAGAGGUAGUCACCCUGCUUUAAUGGACACGGAUAUGGAUUUGAGUCAGAAAAGGCUCAAGAGUCAAGGGAAGCAGAGAACGGGGUCGAGUUACAGGACUGGACGCGGUGUCUCUACAGGGAGAGAAGGCUGAGGGACUCAUAAGAAAUAAGGAUUGUUAAAACUAAAUUUUGUUUGGGUGGAGGCUAUGAUAUAUAAUAAUUUCCUCUUUCAUUGACUCAAACUUUUCAUAUAACCUUCUGCCUAGCACACAAACUUCGAAUGGACAAGAGAUAGAUGCUUAAGAAGCCAAACUCAGGGGCCGGCCCCGUGGCCAAGUGGUUAAGUUCACGCACUCUGCUUCGGCAGCCCAGGGUUUCGCCGGUUCGGAUCCUGGGCACGGACAUGGCACCGCUCAUCAAGCCAUGCUGAGGCAGCAUCCCGCAUAGCACAGCCAGAGCCACUUACAGCCAGAAUAUACAACUAUGUACUGGGGGGCUUUGGGGAGAAGAAUAAAAACAUAAAAAAGAAGAUUGGCAACAGUUGUUAGCUCAGGUGCCAAUCUUUAAAAAAAAAAAUUAAAACCCUCUCCAAAAACAGUUUAAAAAAAAAAGGAAGCCAAACUCAAAGCAAGUAUCAUGUAACAAGACUGUAUCAGAAGUGAGAAAUUAGAGGAAAAUAUACACCCCUCCAAAAUUUCCUGAUAUGUUAGAAACAUUGUUCCGUGCCCCAGCAUAUAAACAAAAAAGCCUUGAAGAUAAUUGUAUUAAGAAAUGAAAAAGUAGAUGAGCCAAACAGUCUGGCGGAAUUGGGGACAUCCAGGUAAAUGACUUCUGGUGAACACUCAGGAUAGAAUCUUCUUAAAUUUGUUUCUCUCUGUCCUUAUCCCAUUCAUUCUGAAUUAGUGGAUUUCUGAAUCUGUGUGCAGUUUUCACAUCUGGCUUCUAUGAUAAGUAGUUUACAUUUAAUCUAGGAGACAGCAGGACACCAAUGAAGACUUUUGAGCCAGAGAUUCACAUAUAAUAGAUUUUGCAUUCAGGUUGCUGGACUUUCCAGGGUAAAACCAGAAAAUGUCUUUCUGAAUAUUUGGAUUAUAGAAAAAUAUAGGGAUUAAUAAGAGAGACAUUUAAGAGGCUGACUCAUUUUAUUUUUCACUUUCUAGAAGUAAAAACACAUAUACCACUAUCUAUUUCACAAACAUAAAAACAUCACUCUCUAGUGAAUGGAAUUACAAGAUUACAAAGAGAGCCCUCCAUUCCUUUACUGUGGUGAGUAGGUUUUCCCAGAUGGUUUUCUCCAUACCAGAGAAUUUCUCGUAGAAUCAGGACAGUGGUGAAGAGAAGUGGCCUGGUUCUCUACUGGAUGAUGAGAGAGAAGGCAGCUGCUUUUCUUCUUUUUUUGGUGAUAUACAGGAGGAAAACUUUUUCCAUCUUUCUUUCUAGGUUCUUUGGCUUGCCUCGUAAUUAAAUUGACAUCAGACAGAUUGACAGGAGAAAAACAAAUUUAAUUCUGUACAUACAAGCGCCCCACAAAGAUGUGACAGGCUCUCAGACAGUCAGAUAAUUGAAACCUAUAAGUCAUUCUGAGUUAAGGAGAAGGGAAGAGGGGUCUGAGGCUUCAAAGGGAAGGAAUACGAUUCACAGGAAGAUGGGAAGAGCAAAUAUUUGGUAAACAAACGGUUGCCAUGUCAUGCGCAUAAGUCUUUCUGAUAUAAGAAGUUAUCUCCGCUAAUGGCUCUCUUCCUGGUACAGGCUCCUUAUCUAAAUUAUUUUAGGCAGUUAAGAGACAAGUAAAAGCUGUUCUUGAGUCUGUUGAGCCUUGAUUGUCUUCAGCUUGAAACAAUCCACAUGCCAAAGUGGUACAUUCUGGGGUAGCCUGCCCUGAACUCCAUCAGUGAUUUUCCAUAAACAGAGAGUCAGAGAGACAAAGAAAGGAAGAAAGGAGGAGGAAAGAAGAAAAUUUUAAAAAUUUAAAAUAUAAAUUCCUACUUUGAGGAAAUUAGUGACAAUUCAGAGGUAUAUAUUCACUCUCUUUCUUUAACAAUCUAUUAACGUACACUGGUGUAGAUUUGAAUGCCAUUUUUCUAACAUUUGGAUUUUAAAAGAUAAAACCUUUCUCCUGGGAGCGCAAUAAUUGAUUCAAACCUGACCUGCCAUUGGUCCAGCUUGUAACUUCACUUCCCUUUUCCAAAUCAGAGUUUAAAUUAAUGGCGAAUUUGCUACAGUGACCCUUCUUAACUGUUUUCUUAGCAAAAUAGGGAUUAAAUCAUGUUGGAAAUCAUCUUUGGUUCUGGUGUUUGGCAAACUGCUACUGAGGAGUCUCUUCUUAUUAUUAACCAGACAUUGCUCUUUCUGGACUAUCGUUCACCCAAACAAGCUAGAAAAUACCACUUCCAGUCCACAGUCCCAGAGCCCACUUGUUUGGCUUCGGUUUUAUCUCCUAAGGACAAUGACAGCCUCUCUCUCUGGGUUGCAAAAAUUUGCUCUAUCUCUUUUGCCCUUGAUAGCGCAUAUCUCCACCCCAAUAUCAGAUUCUUUCAAAUGUAUCUUCUUAAAAAAUAUUUUUGCUGAUAGGGAUCUAAGGUUUUUUGAGUUCAUGAUGCACUUUUGUUAGAUAUAUAUUCUUAUCUCUAUCCACAGGAAAAAAUAAAAGCAACCAACUAGAAAAUUAAUAAACACAUGUAGUCCUUCAUUUGGGGGGAAAAAAGUUGAAUGUAUAUUUCUCAGUUCACCUCAUUGACUUUUCAAAAUGAUGUGUCACACUGUUCUCUAAAUACACACACACAGACACACACACACACAGGUGUAUAGAUUUCAUACUACUGUAUAGGAAUGCUGGUACUCUGAAAAGAAUAUAUAUAUGCCCACAUGACUUAUAUUUUAAAGCAUGCCAUCCCAAACGUAUCCUAACAAUUUGGCUAGGUAUUCAGCCAGCCAUAUCUGGGGUAAUGCAGUAAUACAUAAAGAUGGAUACAUAAUUUUAUUUAUAGAAAUUAUAAGACUCUUGAUAGGUAGAUACAAUUUCUCCGACCUUAUGGGAGUUCCCAGGGACAGCCAUAAACAUGGCAAGUGACCUUCUAUGUCAUUGAACACCGUAAACCCUUUUGAAAAUGAACACUAUCCCCACUGCUGGAGUAUUCUUUCUGAGAAAGACUGAAAAACUCAUACAUGAGGCAGAAGUGGUGGAAAAUUUAAGAAAAAGAAGAAGAAAAGGUAAAAAUUGUUCUACCAAAAUAUCUAAGCCAAUUUUGGGGGACUAGUAGCUCUCAAUGGUAAGGUAGCAGAAUCUUUUAGUAAGUACAGUGCGAGUUGAACCAAGGCAGUAAUUUUAACUUAAAAUGCCAGCAAUAUACAAUGCUAAUGCAAAUUGCCCAGCAGUGGCCAUGGAAACCUUUCACUUUAAAAUUACAGCCCUGCCUGCUGCAAAAGGUGUGAGUACAACUUCUCAACUUGCUGUUUUCCCUGCUCACAGCCCCUGACUCUAACCCCUUUCUAGCUGCUUCCAACUUCUCCCCUCUGAAAAAGUGGUCAUGUUUUCUGUCACAUUGUUCAUUGAAAUAUAAUUUCAUUAUUCUUUGCAUAAAAAAUUUCUCAAGCUUCACAGCAUAAAUUUUGUAACACCAAGAAAACUUUCAGGACUGUUUCCAAAUUUGGAAAUAUUUCGAUCAAGUUUUUUUCACAUAUGAGCUAUAAAUUUUCAAAAAGUAAGUUCUGGUUAUCUGAGCUUCAAACCUCAUCUCUACUAUAUUAUUCACUUACUUCCAGUGCUAAGCAUUUAGGAAUAUGUUCACUAUGCAGCAUGACCUUUGGCCCCACACCUUCAUGUCAGUUUGCCAGGUGAGUGCCAGGUCAAGGGUGAGAACAGUCCCAGAAGCCAUUUCUACACCAAGAUGACUAAUCAAAACACAUCUACACACAGAUAUGACUGUAGGCCCAGAAUUAUAUCCACUAAAUGGAAACUACAAAUAUCUCUCAUGCAACUGUCCCUCAGCUGGACUCUAAAAUUGCUGGUCUAAGGCCACUUGACAUGACAGGAAUGUGAUAUAGGAGAAGUUGGAGUUGAGGAGGCAGUGAUAGUAACCGGUUUUGCUUACAGUAUUUUCCUUUUGCAAAUUUAAAAAAUAUGUAUGUGAACAUGUGAUAACUGUGCUUCCCAGGGCCUGUGCCUUUGAUGCUCGUGCUUCAUCUCUUCUCCUGUGAGCACUGUGCCUUUUAGAUUUUAAUUGUGUAGGGGAGGAAAAAUAAUUUUCCCUCUACUCUUCUAGCUUCUUGGCUGAAAUCCCCUGUAAUAAAAGACAGAUUAACAGGAGAUGUUACAAACAGAUGUUUAGCAAUUUGUUUACCUCCUGCGUACAUGGGAGAUACCCAGGAAAACGGAACUACUCCCUAAAAUGACCCAAGCCACCACUUAAAUAUUACUUCCAGCUUAAGACAAAAGAUGCUGCAGGGGGCAGGAGCCAAUUAUGUAUGGGAGGUUACCAUGCAAAGCACAAUAAACAAGGGUAUGGUUGGUAUGCAGAUUUAAGUCACUGCCUUCUCCAUUGAUAAGUUUCUAGAGAUUUAGUCAUCCUUCUCUUCCUGGUACAAAGAGGGUGACACCCUUACAAACACAUUGAGGUGUUGCCUAAUGACAAGGAUACGUUCUGAGAAAUAUGUCAUUAGGUGAUUUCAUUGUUGUGUGAACCUCACAGAUGUACUUAAUCUAGAUGGUAUAGCCUACUACACACAUUAGGGGAUAUGGCACCAAUCUUAUGGGACCACUGUUGUACAUGUGGUCCCAUCAUUGACUGAAAAGUCAUUACGUGGUGCAUGAUUGUAGAGAUUUCCCUUAUAAAUGCAAAUUUCUCUUACAAAAGGGUAACUUCUACUUGGUGUUCAGAAUUUCUCCUAUGCUUAUUGUUUCUUAAAAAAUAACAAGCCCAAAUUAAUCAAUAUGCCAAAGAGGCAUAUUUUGGAGAGGAUGGAGCAAAAAGACUGGACAGGGUUCUGUUCUAAUGUACACUGGGUGGCUUAGAGUUGGAAUUGAUUUAAUGACUAACAAAAAAUAGUUUCUACCCUUUCAGUUGGUAUUAAAGCUUUACAGUCUUUAGAGACUUUGAUAGGCAUCCUCUAGACCUAUACUGGCCGGUUCCUGAUUCCUAAAACCAGACUAGAGCAUGAGUUCUGUGAGGGCGGCAUCUUAGUCCUGCUGGGAGCUGUAUCCCAAGUGCCUAUAGAUACUUGGCGUUAGAGUCAGUACACCAGAGACUGGUGAGCAAGUGAGUGAAUUGUGUCUAUCCUCAUUUUAACAGAAAAGCACCUGGCUCUCUGAAAUUUAUUUAUUUAUGUCCCUGUAUUAAAUCCUUCCAAAACAGCAGCUGUAACUAAGUGAUUUUUCACCUGGCAAAUAUUGGCUUGCCUAGAGACACAGUCUUAUGAGGUCCUUCCACUCUCACCACAAUCGUGGAGCACCUACUAAGUAAAACUUACUUUUAGGCAAGGAUGAGUGCUAAUAUUAGAAAUAUAUAUCUAUGAUGGAUCAAUGAAUUCUGUUGAGAAGAAUAAUACCAAAAAAUUAGGGUUGUCAAAAGAGGGGAAAUGUACCUAAAAGUCUGUGUCUUCCUGGUCACUUUUAGAUCUUUGAAGGUAUGAAAUUACGUUUCUUGAAGAAAUCUGGGAGAUAGGUUCUUAGCUAGUUUUAACAUUGAAGAACAAUAAAGCUGAGAAAAGUUAAAUAACUUGCUCAAGUUCUCAGUGAGUAAGCCAUGAAGCUGAGAAUUUUACUAAGGACUCUGGUUCCUAAACCCAUGAUCACGUUUCCUGCCAUAAAUGAAACUUAUGGAUGGUAUGGCAAGCAAAUCCAUUAUGCCUUCCAGUCUUUGUUAAGCAGAAUCUUUCCUAGGCUACUAAGAAAAUGACCUAUAUCAGGAUUUGUUCCUUCUGACUGUGCUCUUUAUUUUUUAGAAGGGCAACCUCUUACUUGGGGAGCCCCCAAAUAUUAAUUUUGGGGAAGGUAUCUUCAAUAGAAAGAUAUAUCUAUGUUACUUCCAAGCUUAUGGACUUUCAAAUCACAGGCUGAAAUAAAUAAGACAUUUCACUUGGAGAUAAUAAGUGGAAGAUGAAAAAAGAAGAAAGAAUUCAAGUAGGGAGGAGAGCGGAGGGCUGAAAGCCAUGAAGGAGGGAAGGUAUGAGACCCGAGUCCAGACAAGAAGACAGCCCAGGGACUGCUGUAAGGGGCGCCAGGGAAGGUUGGUAACGGGCUCAAAGCUUUAGAGGAGAUUACCCUAAAAGUAAAAGAAAUAUAACAUAUUGACAUAAAAUUAUAGACAGUUCUCAAAAAAGUUUUUUUUUCAAACUACUGAGAAAAACAGCUGGAAGGUGGAAGAGACAGAAGAAAGCAUACAUUUCCCAAGAGUAAGUGAAUGAUGUGCAUAAAAUAAGAUCACACUGGCCUUAGUGAUCAGAGAGACAGGUGAAGCUGAGGAACACCAUGGAGAGAGCAGAGCCGCGCUCAGCUUACCCGGGCGGUGUCUGCUGAAGUCACGCUCUCAGGACUUUCACUCUGGGAAGUAAACGGCUAGAGUCAUCAUUCCCUGUAGUGCUCCUGGAGACACCGAGGCCCAGUGUCUUCUCUUUGCAUUGUAUUGUACAGCCUUUUAAUUGUAUUCAAAUGUAGUUUUCUUUAAUUACAAUUAAAUUAUAGAGCAUACAAAUACAGACACAUGUACCGCAGGCAGUAUUUUUAGGAAGAAAGAGAAGACAGUAUUUCAUUGACUGAAAAUUGACCUUACCAGCUGGUUACUAUGACUCUUGAGGCAAAAUUCAGUGAAGGCAAGGGUAUGUAUCCUGUGCAUAAACUCUAACCAUCUGGCAUUUCCUCCGUUUCCUCCAAGCUAUAGAACUCAUUGAAGGAUGAGUCCGUAAUCUUUCACCAGCAGCCUGAAAGACCCCAGAGAAGAGAGGUUAGGAUAAACCAGGCCAAUGACAAUGGAUGGGCAAAAUCCUCUCCUACAACACGAUAUUCGUGUUAUGUUGUGUAUAUGCAUGUUGUUGAAAGCUGCUAUAAAUCCUUCUGGGAAGUAGGCAGGGUAUAAAUUAUGGGUUAAUAUACAGGCCUGUCUGGGAGUCAGAGGUGCCAUAUGACAGCUUUACUCCCACUCAGAGUGUGACAUUUGGUUACUGCUCCGUGUCUCUGAGUUCCUAAAAUCAGGAAAGAAAUAGAACAUAGAACACUGAACAUCAAACACUGACGUGUAAUAAAUGAUAUAAAAAGACACCUGACAACCCUCUGUAAGUUACGGCAACUCGGAAGCCCUCUUCUCACUGCCCACUGUCCACAAGGGGUCUCUCAACUUCAGCUACUCCUUGGAUCUUCCACUCCUCAUCGCAAGCAGGAAUCAAUCUAGCACAGACUUUCUCCUCCUACAUAAACAGAGUUUACAAAGGGAAGCUUGGGGUUUUGGUCUCCUUUGCUCCUUUUUUAAUAGCUUUCUGGGGUCAGUGAGCAGAUGCAUCACAACUGCCUACCUGGCCAAAUAGCGCUGUGUUUCCAGGCCCGCCUUAAAGGCCUUCAGGGGAAUCUCCUUCCAUUUAUUGAGAAGCUAUUUGAAUAAAGUCCUUUUCAUCACCCCUGACAACCCUGUCACAAGAACAGUAAAACACAUUGUAUUUAUUCAUUAGGAAACAAUAGAUACAACCUAGGGAACCAUAAGUGAAUUUCAUUGUCAGCAUGAGUCUGUAAUAGGCCAUCUCUUGGGGAUUUACUUUUUUCUUGAAAUACUCAGCCCAGUCUUAUGUUGAGAAAAUAUGUGAAAGUAAGUCCCAAUAUUUUAGCUUUUUAAAUUAAGGUUAAAUUUAUAUCUCUUAUUUUACCCUGUUUCUAAUUCAACACAAAUUUACCAAUAUCUAAUAUAAUCAUCAUGUGAGGCAUCAUGUGAGGCAUUAGAAAUGUAGGGAUGAAUAAGGCAAACAUUUUAAUUUAAAUGGAUAGUUGGCAACUGAUAGCCGAAAAGGUAGAAAGGAAAAUAAAUAAAAAUUCACCAGAAAAAAUUAGGGCCAGAAUGAAUGCAAUAUGAGGUGAGACUAUGGUCAGAAAAGAGGUGGCAAAUUAAUUUUGCUUGGGAGAGAGACAGGGAAGCGUCUUUGAAAGGAAUGUCUUACAGGAUGAGGGAAAUUUUCUCCAUGGAUAGUGAAAGUGCUGUAGGAGGAAGGGUGGAAUAUUCUAGUCAGAGAGAGUAACAAUGGCAGAGAUGUGGAAGUGGGAGAGUUGACAGAAAAUUUCGGGAAUGAUAGCAAUUUGGUACCAUUAAAGCAAAAGGUUGCUCAACAGAGACAUGGCAAGUAAGAAGCUGAGAAGGUGGAUUGGGGUAACCUUGUAAACAGACUGUGUACCAACCUAAGGGUCUGGGCAAUGAUGACUCAUGCUGAUUUUUAAGUAGACUUAGUAGAUGUUGCUCACUCAGCAAUUGUCCCCUCCCUCCCACUCUACCUUCUUGUUCUUCCAACAACUGCACUACAGUAUCCUUUGGAGACCCUCUCCCCUACUUACUGUCAGCAUGCUUCAGGUGAAGAGGGGAUCUCUGGCUUUUUGCUCCAGAGUGGGCAUGUGAACUACGCCUGUCAGCCAGAAUAUUUCACCUUCAUGACAACAGUGAUUGGAUGAGGGAUGAGUAAAAGUGAUUCAGGUUUGUUCAGAGAGAAUUUGCUAGAGGGAUCAAUGAACAGAGUCUAAAGUGUCGACGAAUAUAAUCCAUAACCAAUCUAUAAAUGAAAAUUUGGGUGAGUUUAUUCUGAGCUUAAAUCUGAGGAUUAUAACCUGGGGCCUUUCUUCCCGAAGGAAGAAAGGGCACCAAAGAAGUGGGGUGCACAGACUGGUUAUAUACCCCCAGAGAGGAUGUUUCACAUAGGAUUGAAAUGUCCCUUUUACAGUAGUUGCGAGACUGCUCUGUCGGCACAGCGAUUGAUGGAAACAGCAGGUAGGUCUUCUGUCUCAGUGAACACAGCAGGGUGGCAGUCUGUUGUCUCCAGCUGAGUGGUCACAGGUGAGCUGGGUGGUCAGAGGUGAGUGCAGCAAUCAGUUCCUAGCCUAAGGAAAGAUGCUUAUCCCUAAGGAAAUGCUAAUGUGGGGGGAAGUUGCACCUUUAUCUCAAGGGCCUUUGUUCUGGCCAUAGGAAAUGUCUAAGCAGAUAUGCAAUGGUGCUCAAUAGCCACAGUCAGGCCCUUUUGGAAAAAACAAAGUCAGGCCGAAUUAGGUUUAUACCAAAUGGCUUCCUCAUAUACUCCAAUAUAUCCUAUUGCUUGCCAUUUUUAUUUGUCAAAAGUUAGAAAGAGACUGAGUAAUGACUAAAUUCAGCGAUACCUAAUACAGAAAUAAACCUGAAAUUUUAAGAUUGAGUUGAACUUCUUUCAUCUUCAACUAAGAAUUCCUGAUAAAACAUCACACACAUGUACUUUUUACAUAUAUGUUUUAUAUAGGUCACUAUUACUCUGACACCAGAAGGAUAUAUUACCGUAAAAGAGAGUGGAAGAAGGGACAUCUGAUAAGCCAAUGUUACUGGCAAAGCUUUGAUGAGGGCCUAGAUUAAGACAGCACCCCUAGGGUUGGAGGAUGAAGGCCUCACCUUUGUAUUGCUCUCUCUUGGAUUCCCAGCCCCCAGCUCAAGUCCUAACACAUAGAUAGUACUCAAAUUUACUGAAUGAAUGACCAGGGCAUGAAUUCAAGAUAGAGAAGCUUAUGAGAGGUAUAAGUAAGGGUGAGGGAAGACAAGGAAUUUAAUAAGAUGCUCAUAUUUCUAAUGAGGACACUAGAUAGACAUAAGUGGCAUUAUUCAAGCUGGUUACAAGGAGAAGCUAAUAGAGGUAUGGUGGGAUAGUAGCAAAUGAAGAAUACAGUUUUACAUACUUUGAGUCAGUGUUAGUUUUUGGCUUUUGAUUUAUGUGAUUAAUCUUCUUUACCAUAUGCUUAGAUAUUUAAAAAAGCAGAACUCUAUAUACACCUAUUAAAAUCUUACCUUUUAGAUGUGUCCCAAAGGCAAUCUCAUCCAUGGAAUUUUACCCAAUGUUCCAAUCUAAAGUGAUACCAUUUUAUCAUAAAUCCUCCAAUAAUUUGUAAUUAUUUAUUUUAACACACUUCUCAUAUGUUGAUUUUUUGCACUCGCAAGAGUCGGUUUCUUGCUCAACUGCAGCUCCUUAAGCUCAAGAGCAGUUUUUCAUUCUUCUUCACGUCUCCCAGAGUUUCUAGAAAAGUGCGUGGCAAUUGAAGAUUCUCUCCAAAUAUUUGUUUAAAAAAUAACGCUUAGAGGGGCCAGUCCAGUGGCGCAGCAGUUAAGUUCGCAUGUUACCCUUCAGCGACCUGCGGUUCACCGGUUCAGAUCCUGGGUGCAAAUCUAUGCACCGUUUGUCCAGCCAUGUUGCGGUAGGCAUCCCACAUAUAAAGUGGACGAAGAUGGGCAUUGAUGUUAGCUCAGGGCCAGUCUUCCUCAGCAAAAAGAGGAGGUUUGGUGGUGGAUGUUAGCUCAGGGCUAAUCUUCCUUAAAAAAAAUAUUAAAAUUAAUAAAUAGAUAAAUAACAUUUAGAGACUUUUGAAGUUAUGAGGUGCUUACUAAGUACGCUUCUCAGAAAGAAGUUAAUUAAACCUAUUUAUCUCACUUUUAUUUUUAGGAGCAAGCUUUCACUUUAAACUAUAUCUAGAACCACCAUACUUCCUACUGUAAAAUGUGCUCCCCUAACGCCCCACUCUCUCUCACCCUGCUCUGUAAUUUUUCUAAAACAACUUCUAUUAUAAGACAUAAUUUAUUUUUAAGCAUUUUGGUAUUUUAUAUUGUCUUUAUCAUCCAAUUAGACUGUAAACUUUAUGAAACUGGUAUCUUUAUUGUAUUCAUUGAGAUAUUUUAAGCAACUAGAACAGAGACUUGUACAUAGUAAACACAAAUAAAUGAAUCACCUGGAUGUCAUUUAUUUAUUUUAUUGGUGACCUGCACUUCCUAAGACUCCAACCUCUCCUGCCUCCGGCGGGCACCACUGAUGUGGUCCGUGUAAGAUCCUCCCUGGGAACUGAGCAAGGCACGGCCACCAGGGUUCUCGGGAGAUGCUCUGCAAAGCCACUAAACUAUGAGGCCCAUGAAAGUAGGAAUUUGUGUCUGUUUUGUUUUCUGCUAUAUCCUCAGAUCUUAGAAUUACUUCCGAAACAUAAUAGAUAGUCGUUAAAUUAUUAUUUAGUAAGGAGUGAAUAAAUGAAUAGAGUACACGACUCCAUUAUAAAAUAGUAGAAGAAUGAGACCUCUCAAAGGCUUAGACACUGUAAAUGUGAGACUAACUGCCAUUAACAGAGUGAAACAGAUACUAGAAAAGGAACCUGUCUAUUUUCAGUCAAAUAAUAGUCAAGAUCAGUACAGCAAAAAUGAAAGCUGAUGAUUCAGUUGAAAGAGUGAAAACCAAGAACAUCUAUCCAUAAAUUUAAUAUUCUUUUUUUCCUCGUUCACUGAAAGUAUACUUAAUCGACGCUAACAGUCAUUGGUAAAGGAGGAAAGAAAAGGGAAUAUAAAAUUUAUAAAAUGCCAAUUUCUGAGCACAGAUGGGGAUCAAAAAAAGAGAGAUUCCACGAACAAAAGCCGCAAGAAACAGAAUGAAUUAGACAUGUGUUGUCUGCUGGCUGUUCUGUAGACUUGUGUUCGCAAAGGAGGCUGUGGGUAAGACUGACAGCUGCUUUGGUUUCCUCUGUCAACAGUAGUGAAUAAACACAGAGAAAUCUUAGGUAUGCCAAAGCAAAACUUCUGGAAAAAGAAAGGAAUAUAUUAUGCAGUGCAAAAUAUGAUCCACACAAACAUGCGGGUGCACACACACACUGUAACAAACUAUUUCAACUUAAUGCCUGAAUUUUGAAUAAGAAAGAGCUUUAUUCAUGAGGAGGUUGCACAUUCAUGAGCAGGUUGCAUUCAGCAAAGAAGAGUAACA
Molecule: long non-coding RNA, 17183 nt
Filed under: Equus caballus (horse)
Lineage: Eukaryota; Metazoa; Chordata; Mammalia; Perissodactyla; Equidae
Description: lncRNA (ENSECAG00000033026.2)
Source: RNAcentral